AUGGCUGUAGCAAUGCUCCCGAGGCUCGUUGCUGUGGCGGCGCUCGUCGCGCUGAUAUGUGCUGUUGCUGUGGGCCAGGUACCCGCACCUGCCGUCGGCGGUGCGCCGGUGUGCGACUUGGUCGAUCAGGACGUCGUGAAUGCGUGCUUCAAGAGCUUUGGAGAAGGUAUGAAAAAUGCCAUUGCAGACAGGCGUUUUUCGGGGGGUAAGGUCAUUAAGGUUGGAGUGGACUGCUGCAUAGCCUUUGGAGGCCACUCGUGCCUCUGCAAGAUGAAGAUGGCGUGGAAGGCUCAGGGCAAAAGUGCCCAGAAUAAUGUGCAAUGCGUCAGGGAAAAGGCAUGCUCGGACGAUUUGAUUGCCCAUGAGCACACAGGGGUCGCUCAUCCAGACCCUGCUCUUGAUUAG
RNAcentral lists this ribosomal RNA (405 nucleotides) under Triticum aestivum (bread wheat). Its description in RNAcentral is "partial small subunit ribosomal RNA". Lineage: Eukaryota; Viridiplantae; Streptophyta; Magnoliopsida; Poales; Poaceae. The record is from RNAcentral.